RNAcentral lists this ribosomal RNA (253 nucleotides) under uncultured bacterium. Its description in RNAcentral is "partial 16S ribosomal RNA". It matches the Rfam family "Archaeal small subunit ribosomal RNA", at positions 474 to 727 of the family's 1478-position model. The record is from RNAcentral.
UACCGGCACCCCGAGGGGUCGGGAAGAUUAUUGGGCCUAAAGCAUCCGUAGCCGGUCUUGCAAGUCUUCCGUUAAAUCCAGCUGCUUAACAGAUGGGCUGCGGAAGAUACUACAAGACUAGGAGGUGGGAGAGGCAAGCGGUACUCAGUGGGUAGGGGUAAAAUCCUCUGAUCCAUUGAAGACCACCAGUGGCGAAGGCGGCUUGCCAGAACGCGCUCGACGGUGAGGGAUGAAAGCUGGUGGAGCAAACCGG